Molecule: ribosomal RNA, 377 nt
Filed under: uncultured bacterium
Lineage: Bacteria
Description: bacterial SSU rRNA
Rfam family: Bacterial small subunit ribosomal RNA
Source: RNAcentral
UAAUACGUAGGGUGCAAGCGUUAAUCGGAAUUACUGGGCGUAAAGCGUGCGCAGGCGGUGGCUUGUGUCAGGUGUGAAAGCCCCGGGCUUAACCUGGGAAUUGCGCUUGAAACUAGGUCGCUAGAGUGCGUCAGAGGGGGGUGGAAUUCCACGUGUAGCAGUGAAAUGCGUAGAGAUGUGGAGGAACACCGAUGGCGAAGGCAGCCCCCUGGGAUGACACUGACGCUCAGGCACGAAAGCGUGGGGAGCAAACAGGAUUAGAUACCCUGGUAGUCCACGCCCUAAACGAUGUCAACUAGUUGUUGGAGGAGUGAAAUCCUUCAGUAACGGAGCUAACGCGUGAAGUUGACCGCCUGGGGAGUACGGCCGCAAGGUUA